Non-coding RNA from Paramuricea clavata, 10569 nucleotides. The record is from the annotation of a GenBank genome assembly. Lineage: Eukaryota; Metazoa; Cnidaria; Anthozoa; Malacalcyonacea; Plexauridae.
AAAAAAAAAAAAAAAAAAAGGGCCCACAGUAAUUGGCAUAUGCUGUUGUGGUGACCCUGCCCUAGUUGGCAAAGCUAAAUAAAUAAAUAAAAAAAUAAAUACUGUUACAUACGAUACCACACCAAACUUUUUGUUACCAACAACCAUCUCCACACUCUGUAUAGUAUGGUACCUUUCUGUAGAUGCCCCCCCCCCCCCGCGGACAAAUUCUUUAAAAAGGCCCUGACGUAUGCCCACCCGCUGUCUUUUUAUUGUACUCAGGACACAGUACAUUCACUGUAGUGCAUUCACACUGUAUGAGAGACUCUAAAGACUGUAAAGAUCAAAUGCGCUUACAUCAAGUAUCAUACGCUUAUAAUACCUAAUUACAUACUCAGCCUGGACUAUUUUAUCUUCACAACAAUUGCGAUAUUACUUUCUAUUCUUGACUUAUGUAUAUCAUGCAUAAAUCAUACAAUCCAUGGGCUAUGAUUAUACGCAUUCGCGGAUUCCUCUGCCCAGCAAAGGAAGACAAACUUUGCCAAUUUCUCGUCCAAACACCAAAAUUUCAUUAAUUUCUCCUUGACCUUGUGCAAUGUCCGUCUCUAAUCCAAGAAAACAUGACAGACAGACAAACACACACACACAGACAUGUCAUUGGAUGAAGAACAUAUACCCAAAAUUUUCAUGGAUUCAUCAAAACGUUUUUAGAUAAAAUGAUUUCUCCACCUCUUAAAGUUCAAACGCCUACGGUUUCAAAAUUACUUAUUCCGAUUCUUAUACCAUAUAAACUCUGGCCAUCUCCACACAUCAACACCAUGGAUAUAAUCUCUUAGCAGAUCGUAUAUAUAUUGCGUGACUCGAGCAGUUAUUGAAUUAAUUCGUAUUUGCGUAAAUCCGGUCACGAUUCGCUUGCCCGCACAUCGCAUGAUUUGGCGUAAUUCAAUACUUUGCACGUUCGAAGACAACUUUCUGUAAUCAAAGCGAAUCAAAGCAAAUAUAUUUCCUCCUAUAACAGGUCUGACAAAAAGAAAGGAGUCCAGCUUGCCAAGAAUUGAGAGUCGAUUCAGAUUGUCGCUGCUGACUCACUGACUGUCACACUAUAUUAACAGGUAUGUUUUUAAUGGUUUAAGUUAUGUUAGUAUCAUAGCCAUGGCUCAAUUCAUUCGUGCGAACCUCAAUAUUACAAUAAGUUAGCGCUGUAAAUUAAAUUCCAUUGUUUUUAUUCUUUAAUUUUUCUUCACCCGUACUCGAAUUCAUGCAAUAAAAGUUGUCCUGGGCAAAUAAAGCUGAAUUUAUUUUAAACAGCGCCAUGUAUAAACUCGUCAGUCAUCAUAGUCAUAGAUCACACUAUUAUUUAUUUCGAAGAAUAAUUCGUCGAAGAUUUCAAAAUUGAAUCCUUCGAUUUCGUUCGUGAAAUAAAUCCGCUUGUAUAUAUCCAAGACAAAGUAAACUGUAUAAAUUUUGAGCAAUUAAAGUAAAGUCAUACCGGUAUUAAAGUAUACGAAGCGGGGUGCCGUUAUACAUCGAUUGCUUUAAAAUAUAUAGCAUGCAUAGGGGCGUUGAAUUCCCUUAUUUGUUUGUAUAAUAUCAAGAUAAUGCAGAGGAAACGUGAAUGAUACUGUAUUGAUUAGGGGCAUUGUAAAAUAACACAUUGAAUAGCAAAGUCGUCGUUUAAACGUUUGUCGACACAGGUGUUGAGGUCAUUUGCAUGUUACUGUUAUAACUUAUAUACACUGUCAUGGAGUGAGACUGUGAGUGUUCGAUAUUUGCCAUGUCCAUGGCUCCAUGCACAACUGUAAAUUCGCGUUCAAAAUGUAUCGGUGUAUUUAUAUAUAUAUAGACAGUUGAAGAUUUGUAAUCCAGGCAUUUUAUUAAUUGAAUCAUUUUACAAAUUAUGUUGAUUGUUGUUCUCUGUAUUGUAUUAAUAUAAAUGUUUUGAGCUUUCGACUCGGUACUUCGAGCCUUCAUCAUGCAGAAAGGAAAGCUUUGUAUAUCACUGAUUUAAAUGGUUCUCAUGGGAGAGAGUUAAAUAAUAACAUUGCCUUGCUAUAUAGGCUAUAGCCUAUAGGAUAUAUUUGAUUUCCCAAACUCAGUAUUAACGCCGAAACCUUUCCUGAAGUCUAUAUAACUCUGAAUUAUGCACGCGCAGAUAUAUAUAUAUAUAUAUAUAUAUAUAUAAUAUAUAUAUAUAUCUAUAUAUAUAUAUAUAUAUAUAUAUAUAUAUAUAUAUAUGUCGCCUUGUUUGACUAGUAUAUUAUUAUAUAGGCCCAUCAUCAAAAUGCUAUUAUUCUCUUCCCCUAAUUGAAGACGUAUGUUUUAUUUUGGCAUGGAUAUAUAUAUAUAUAUAUAUGUCGCCUUGUUUGACUAGUAUAUUAUUAUAUAGGCCCAUCAUCAAAAUGCUAUUAUUCUCUUCCCCUAAUUGAAGACGUAUGUUUUAUUUUGGCAUGGACAAAUUCGUGGAUAUGUCUGGAUUCUAUGUGUUAACUACACGUGCAGGACUAAUGUCAGUCUGUCUGGAAUUUAUCAUAUUGAUUUAUAUUGAUCACAAAUAGACAUAUAGUGUUAAUGACGUUGGUAAACCAUAUAGUAAAACAAAGGCAAUAAUCGACUAUUGUUCUUAGGCUCAAUAACAAAGUAAUUUUCAACCCUACUAAGCACAAAACAUGAGUAAGUAUUUGACAUGAAAACGAGGCCAUUCGGGGAAAGAGAAUAAUCGUAUUGCGUUCUUGCUAUCAUUCUAGAGUGAACCGAUUUGGUAACCGGCUUGUCUCCGUGUUAAACGUAACCAGUUACUAUAUACAGCAAAUUUCCUCGCCACGUAUACGCGCGUGACACAUUAAUAUUGAAUGCAUGUAUAUCUUCAUUUUCUCGAUGCCUGCUAGUACACCAGUAAUACAGUAUAUAGAUGCAAAAAGCGAAUGGCAUAUAUACUCAUGUAGCUGCAGGGCUCGAAAUAGCGGGCUGCCAAUGGCCAAAAGCAGGCCAUAUUUUACAAAUGGCAGGCAAAAACAAAUUUGAACUGCCAAGUAAAAAAAAAUGGCAGGUGAAAUUCUAUAUAGAUAUAUAUUUCAUUUCAUUUACUUACCACAACUCAUAUAUACUAUAGAUCAUUUAUUUGACUAAAUAUGUUUGUAUGAAAAAUAAUAAAAAUUGCAUAUCAUGAAAACAUUGAUUUUUACAAUAUGACUCGUAUGAAACAUCGCCAUUUUGGCAGUUCAAUGAAUAAAAAUGGUAGGCUAAAAUUUAUUUCACCUGCCAAAAAAUUUUAGACUGGCAGGCCAUAUUUUUUCUCUAUUUCGAGCCCUGUCAUGUAGGGUAUACAGCUCAAUGUCGAAUCUAUGCUGUUAAAACUAUCAAUAAUGUAAACAUAACUUAAACAUUAACAUGAACCGGAAUAAACAGUCAAUAAGAAACAAAUUCGUCCAGGAAAACAUGGGAAUAUAUAAUCUUUAUAGGCCAUUGCCAUUGGAUAAAAGAGAAUAAUCGGUAAGGUCUAUUCUUAUACUGCCCACUAGCUGCAACGUGCUGCAUCCCACAUUCAAGCUUUUAGAGUGUGUUUAUAAUGUAAUGGGAACACAUUAUAUCUCCAGGAUAUUUAUAUAGAGCUAAAAGGUAUUUUGGCUUCCGAAACGUAUAAUCUAACGGCAGAUAGAAUGUUCGAUAAUGAUAUGUUUCGGAAUUGCGGUUCAUAAGUGACCGUAUUUAAUACGCGUAUAUAAGGCGUAAUCAGAAUUCACAACAAAUAAUGUGAAACGAAAACACCUUUAUAUCCAAUAUAUAUACAUGAGAUAAUCGCGAAGAAUAAUCUUGCAAAAAAUUGGAGAAAAAAAACAAGAUGUGGAUAUAAAUAAUAUAGACAUAAUUCAUAAAUUAUUUUCAAGAUUACUUUUCGAUCCUAUGUGACAUAAUCAUCAGACAUUAUAGGCUCAACAUUUUUAUCCAACAUUGGCAACAAGCAUUGUUUGGACCAUGCAGGUAUAUUACUAUUAGACUUUCUGCAUAAAUUUAUUGUGCACAAAGACAAGACUAUUAUCACAUGCAGUAUAUAUUGAAUUGAUUGAGACAGUAGACGCUCAUGUAGAAGACAAUUGAUGCAUGGUAAUAGAGAAGUGGAAUUAUUAUGUGGACAAAUUUGCGUCGGAUCAAGAGACCCGGCAAGAGGUCAAAGGAGCUUUAUAUCCAAUAUAUAUACAUGAGAUAAUCGCGAAGAAUAAUCUUGCAAAAAUUUGGAGUAAAAAAAAAGAUCUGCAUCAUGCAUGGAUAUAAAUAAUAGACGUGUAAAUUAUUUUCAUGAUUACUUUUCGAUGACAUAAUCAUCAGACAUUAGUAUCAAAAUUUUAUCCAACAUUGGCAACAAGCAUUGUUUGUACGAGGUAUAUUAUACUUUGUGGUAUAAUUCCGCAUAUAUAUAUGGAAAUACGUGACCGACGAAGGGGCUUCGCUCGAAACGUCACUAUACUCACUAGCAAUUUUGUCGGCGAUUUUGUGUUUCAGACGUAUGCGAUGAGUGAACUCUGACACAAAAGUAUAGAGGCUUUAGAAGUAAACAAUUCUAAGACUAUAACGCCUACAUGUAUACUAAAAGCACACUCAAAGAGUGGAGGUUCAAUCUGAGCUUCCCUUGAGUGUCAAUGCUGUUUUUUGAAUAGCUGGAGGGUGAGUAGUCACAGUAAGUAGGGUGAGUAGUCAUAGUAAGGUACGACACUAACCCUCCAGCUAUUCAAAAACAGCACUGACACCGUCAAGGGAAGCUCAGAUUGAACCUCCAGUCUUUCAGUGUGAGCGUGAGUGAGCUUUUAGAAUACAGCGUCAGAGUUUCUUAUUUUCUUUUAAUUAACUUGUGGUAUACAUAUUUUUUAUCUAUAGGCGUAUUUUAGUUUUGAAUAUUUUGUAAUUGUACAUAUAGGACCCUGUAGUUGAUAACAGUGAAGAUCACUGAUUAGGCUUUCUUUUUAAAUAUUACAUAAUAGCAAUAAUAAUGACUUCAUCAGAAUAUUGAAAACAAAAACAUAUUGUUAUUCUGGCAAAUUUUCAAAAAUUUCAACCAUGCACAAAAUUUCCGCACUUUUGAAAGUGCAAAAGCCGCGUAAAGAGGAGUGAUUUCCUACAGGAAUGAUUUGCCUUCGGACGAAAGAGUUUCCAAAGAGGAUGUAUAUGGUUGAAUAUAUUAUUUGUCUUUAGCCUACUGUUUCACUUGAAUGUGCGUGGGGGGCAAGCUUUAAGCCUGGUUUAAAGUUUCUGCAUGUGAUCACAGUAGGAAUUUUGCAUGGGUAAAUUCUAAGUUUUGAAGGGUUUGUAAGAAAUGUUUGAGGGAACUGACUCUAGACAAUUCAAAUAACGUGAAAAGCGACUUUUACCCAAACUUACCAUUAUAUAUAUACAAACAACUACAAUACUAAAAAAUUGGAUUUCCUGAGUAGCCCAAAAAUCGCGGAAAAAUCGACCGUGAGAAAGGAUAAUGCAUGGUCUGACGUCAGUUUCGUUUACAAAUCUUUGUUGACAUAACGUAAUUAUCCGAUUACGCGUAUAUUGCAUGGAAAAUGAAAUUUAAACUGCAUAUAUAUACGUGUUUAGACAUAUACUACAGAAUUGUUUUAAAGUUCUUCAUUGUCUAGCUGUUGAGUGAUGUCUUUACCUCAAAACAACCACAACAAUCUGUUUCAUCCGUAUAGGAAUCAUCAGGUGGUGAGUAAUUUCGAAAAUAUAGGUUGCUUUUAUGCUUUCGAAACCUACACGCAUUCCGCGUGGAUUUGUUUCGCCUACACGCAUUCCGCGUGGAUUUGUUUCGCCUACACGCAUUCCGCGUGCAUUUGUCUCGCCUACACGCAUUCCGCGUGCAUUUGUCUCGCCUACACGCAUUCCGCGCAUUUCAUUUUCGAUAGCAUAAAAGCAACCUAUAUGAUGAUCCACCUGAUGAUUCCUAUACGGAUGAAACAGACUGUUGUGGUUGUUUUGCAUUUGUCUCGCCUACACGCAUUCCGCGAAUUCAUUUUCGAUAGCAUAAAAGCAACCUAUAUGAUGAUCCACCUGAUGAUUCCUAUACGGAUGAAACAGACUGUUGUGGUUGUUUUGAGGUAAAACGAAAACUAUUAUGUACAUAUAUACAUGCAAGCUUAACAUAAUCUAGACAUAGCCCCAAGUGGUUUCAUUUUGAUAGAGUGCAUGUAUCCAGUCUCUGAGUCUGUAAUUUUUUUAAAAAAUUUUUUGUCUGUGAUUUCCUAUAUUUUUUUCCUGCCAGAGGGUAUAUAUACGACCAUACAAAACAUACACCAUAUAAAAUCAUCACAAAUAAACGUUUUCAAAAAAUUGAGCAACACUUAAUAAAAAAAAAUGGUUGAAGGUAUAGACAGGACAUGAGUUCCAUGUGAAGACCAACCUGGGAGAAAAAUCCUAUAAAGACUAUAGACAUAUAUUAAACAAGGUCUAUAUAUGGACAGAUUAAGAGCAACAGCUCAAGCUGAAAAUUCCGCAUUCAGUCUUUAGAGCAGUAGGUUUCUGUUUACAUCAAAAGAAGAAUCUAAUUGAGAAGAGUAGUUAAUAUGGAGCUUAAAGGGGGGAAACAGACCAGCUAUUACGAAUGAUCGGAGAGAGAUUUUUCCAUAUAGUAAUUCGGUUGAAAAAAGAGUUUCUAAAAAGAGACUCUGAACUGUCCGUGUAGACAGUGCCAAUAAAUUACAAUGAUAUACGAAAGCUUCGAAGUAGUAUAUAGGGAUGCAAUGCACCUAUUACCUAUUAAUGAACAAAAUUUUGAUCUAGACAAAUCUAGACAAAAAUUUCAUCACAGCUUGAAAGAGCAUGAUCACAAAAUUAGUAAUAUUCCGAAGUUUCGUUGCGAAAUAUUUUAAAAUGCGGAUAAUAUAGCCCUGCGAAGUUUGCCGUUUUUCAGUCAUUUUGUAUUACGCACGGGAAAUUGAUACCUUUUUUGAGAAAGCGGUAUCAAUUUCCCGUGCGUGUAAUACAAAAUGACUGAAAAACGGCAAACUUCGCAGGGCUAUAUUCGCAUUUUACAACAUUUCGCAACGAAACUUCGAAAUAUUACUAAUUUUGUGAUGCUCUUUCAAGCUGUGGUGAAAUUUUUGUCUAGAUCAAAAUUUUGUUUAUUACUAGCCGGCGUAGCAGGCGCUAUUUAGGGGGGGAGGGCGAAAAAUGGAAGGGGCGAGAAAGAAAUAGCUAUUUCUUUCUCGCCCCUUCCAUUUUUCCUCGCUCUCGCCUUCGCAUUCCCCCCUAGCUUUUCCCAUCCCCCCUAGCUUUUCCCAUCCUCGCCCUCCCCCCUAAAUAGCGCCUGCUACGCAGGCUAGUUUAUUACGAUCUAUUACAACGAGAACUUCAAUGCGCGGAUUGUCUUGAAGCAAGUUGACCUUGCUUGAAGCAGGUUGACCUUGCUUGAACGGUUGCCAGACGAGGGAUUUUGAAAAAAAGGUGACAAAGAGGAGAUCUGUACGUUCCUAGAGGCCUUGUUUGCAUUUGAAGAAAAAAAUGAGAUCUCAUAAUUGAGACCUUCUGGAUAAAUCUAUUAUUGUAUUAGGAGGGUCCUGAAGGGGGGGGGGGUCGUAUUCCCAUUUCCCAGCCCAAAUUUUGACUAAAUCCCAUUGUCCCAGAGCACAAAUCCCAUCAUCUUGGUGGCUGUCCUGCUCAAAUCUUAAUCCCAUUCCCAUUUUCUAUUGGGUUUUUUUGCUGAUGAAUCCCAGUCCCAGGCCAGUGCAUGAAAUCCCAUUUUCCCACCCAAAAAUAAGCAAAUCCCAGUUCCAAUUUUACCCCAUUCAGGACCCUCUAUUAGUAUAUACUGAAGCCAAAGGGUAGAAAGUCUUUACUCACGUACAAGGAAAACAAAUUGAAACAAAGACAAAGUACCAAAAGACGAACCAAAAAUUACUGGAUAUAGAUAACACCUAUAUAAACACUACCCUAUAUUAUAUAAACAUGUCUAAUUGUAUGAUCGUAGUUGAUCAAAUGUUGCUAAUAUGUCAUGACAGUAUAUGGAAGAAAUUCUUAAAAUAUUUUUAUCUCGCAUGGCAAUAGCAUAAUGAAAUAGCUAGGUUUUGUAAGUUCAUUAACAUAAAUGAUUUAUUAAUUUUAUACAAGCUCUUGUUAGAAGUUAUCUCGCAUGGCAAUAGCAUAAUGAAAUAGCUAGGUUUUGUAAGUUCAUUAACAUAAAUGAUUUAUUAAUUUUAUACAAGCUCUUGUUGAAAUUAUUCAUUAUAGGAACAUUGCAUUUCUGUAUGACAAUAGGUAUAAUGUUGUUCAUUAUAUACCAACUUCAUCAGAUCAGAAUGUGAGAUUAUAUUAUAGAUGAAAAUUAUUUUGGAUUUCGGCAUAAAAACAAGUUCCGCAUGCAUAGAUAUAAGUGCAUGCCAAUUUAUAUGUGCAUUUAAAAUGAAAACAAUAUUAAGUCCUAUUUUAUGAGUAAGCUUUAUUGCCGGAUGGGUUUGGAAAAUAAAACUUAUGUUGACGCAGACAAGAUUUCCAGAAAAAAACACUUCUUGCAUGUUUAAGAACAAAAGCUGUUGUGAUGAUUGUUUUAAAGAUGGGAACUUUGAACUUUGGAUGUUACAUCGCUUCUUUUAAUGGACUAGCAAAAAGAAUAGCUUAUGUUUGAAAAGGUUUUUGAGAUACAUGAUAUUUUUGCUAUCUCCAUGGGAAAUUUUGUUAACCAUUAAUUGACAACUUUGGAUGUUACAUCGCUUCUUUUAAUGGACUAGCAAAAAGAAUAGCUUAUGUUUGAAAAGGUUUUUGAGAUACAUGAUAUUUUUGCUAUCUCCAUGGGAAAUUGCUAUCUCUAUGGGAAAUUUUCGAUUCCAUGACGUCUAUUUAACCCACGGCACAGGCCAAGCAAGUGUUAAAACAUUUGUUUUUAAAAGGCAAUUUGUUUUUGCGCAACAAGAUACCAAAUAGAUUUUGCCGACAAUUCUUGUAUGCUAAUAUACGCCAUGGACAAUUAAACACUUGAACGCGUUUCCCAACAAAAGGUUAGCAGUCUCGUAUUUUCAUAUAAUCGAGUGACGUUCAUUAUGUGGGCAUGACUGGCGUUGGAAUGACUUGUGUAAAAAUAUUGUUUUCAUAAUUUUGUUAUGUUGUUAUAUAAGUAUUGACCAUGAGGGGGGGAAUUGGGGGGUCUAUGUAUAGUAUGCAUCAGUUGGCCAUGAUAUGCAUAUCAGAUACUAUGCGUAGCGAGACAGCUGGCGUAGUUUGUCUCUUAAUAGCGUGUACUUGAGAACCAGUGGACAUAUUCUAUUUCAAGCUGCUGUAGUUUUUAUGAACUCUAUACCUGCAAAUAAAAUAUAUCUCAAAAGUGAUGAUCCAAGCUUGACUCUCCAUUGGUAGGUAAUAUUCUACAAUAAACUCCCUGUUAAUUCCAGGGAGUUAAUUUAACUCCGGUGGAAUUAUUUUGAACCUCGUUCAACUCCAAAUGGGGAAUAAAAUUAGGAUAAAAAAACUUCAUCCGAUUAGUUAAAUGAACUUCUUGAAAGUAGCUGCCGUGGUUUGCGUCAGAACUGCUUUAAAAAGAUUUCUCAAGCGUCAUGGUCUCAAUAAUCUAAUGUGGACAGUAUUGUACAACAUUAAGCUGGCGCGCUUGUGACUGGACUUGUUGAGGAAGAUUAUAUUUAUACGCACACUGAGUGAAUUAUUCGUCGCAGGGUCCGUAUAUACCUGAUCCAAUAUACUAGAGAGGUUUGAAUACGAGUACCAGAUUCGUUGCUUGCACAUGUCCGUAUAAUCUUCUUACGCCAUUAAUGCACAUGCCAUGAUCUCGUGGUGGACGCUUGUAUUCUCUACAACGAGACAUUUCCCGUUGUCAAGUUGCCACGGCUGCAUACGAGAUUUAUAAAUUAAGCAUCCCGUACAUGAUGGCGUAAGAAUAUGGCGAAGAUUCCAAAUAACGAAUCUUGCUGUCACAGGGUAGAGUGUUAUUCAGGGCCGGUUGUUCAAAGGUGGUUUAGCGCUAGCCCUGGGUUAAAAUUUAACCUGCUGUUUUAGUUUGUGUAUUUCUGCACGUCUGUUUAUUUCAAAACUUCAGAAAAGUAAACUCCUAUCGAUCCAGACAAGAUCUCUGAAGAAAUAUUUCCAAAUUUAUAGACAAGCUGUCAGGAAGUUUGCUUUGAAUUUUAGCUUAACCCAGGGUUAAGCUAACCCAGCUUUGAACAACCGACCCCAGAGCUCAGAGGUAAUGAUUUAUGAUUCGCCUUCAAUAUGCACCGCUCGCCUUGUUCCUAGCCAGUGACGAGAGCCAUUCGCCCACCAUUUUGAAUAUUUUCAGGGGGGGGGGGCGAAUGCCUCUCGCAAGCGCACUGGCUAGACAAAAAUGGCAAAAUCAAGAAGUUCUGCAAGUGUUUUUUACGACACAGAAUCUCUUGACGAACGAUGCAAAAUGCAAGUUUUAGUACAUUUUUUAAAUAAUAACAAACUUUUUUCCUUAGUCACCGACGGAUUCAAUAUUUUGGAACUGACUUGUGAUCUGUGCCAGAAAGUUAAGGAGACGCGUUAGGGUAGGUUUUGUCACUUUAAACUAUUAUUAUUAUUUAAAAUUAUUUGAAAACGGUAGCCCGUCAGCGGUAAAGAAAAACUGACUUUCAAGGGGCCGUUCAUGAA